ACAUUCUCUUAGUUUUUAAAAAAUAUGUUAGUAAACUCAGAUGAUGAUAGAUAUGAAUAUUUCUGUCCUAGAUUUGAUGCAAGGCAUUCCAGUGACAGAAGAUCUUUAUUCCAUAUUUACCAAGGAGAAAGAGCAUGAAGCUUUGCAUAAGGAAAGCCAGAGAAGCCACCAAGAACUGAUUAGUCAGCUUUUACAAAGCUACAUGAAAUUACUGCUGCCUGAUGAUGAAAAGUUCCAUGGGGGCUGGGCCCUUAUUGAUUGUGAUCCCAGAAAGCAUCCAGUUUGAAGUGAGUCUUGAAAAUAUCAGUGGACAACAGGAUCUAAAUUUAUCUACCAGAUUCAAUGCUUACUUUUAGGGCUGAAAUCUGAUAAUUUUUAAUAUUAUAAAGAAACAUUUCAGGAAAUUGUAACCUCUGAGAAUAAAGCAUUAUAUUUAAUU
Non-coding RNA from Heterocephalus glaber (naked mole-rat), 439 nucleotides. Lineage: Eukaryota; Metazoa; Chordata; Mammalia; Rodentia; Bathyergidae. The record is from RefSeq and is a predicted model, not a curated record.